ACCGGGGAACGGGGUGGAGUGCAGGGGCUUGAAGGGGGUUCAGCGGGAACCGGAGGAGGAGACCCGAGGGGCGGGAUGGGGGCGGGCGCUGGGCAGGAUGGGGACUCAGGGCGGGAUGGUGGGCAGGCGCGAGCCUCCGGCUAAGGGAUGGGGGAACCAGGGGGCGGAACCGGGCGGACUGGCAGCACGUCCCCGCAGCCUCCAGGCCUCUUAGACCCCGAGUAAAGGCUGGAGAAGACCAUCCAGCCUACAGUUCAGACCUGAGAACCUGCCCUGUUCCUUCCUGCCUUCCCUUCUCCACCCAACCCCAACUGCAGGGAGCCGGGCCUAGGAAAAUGGCAACUACUAGGAGCCGCGGUGUCAGAACUGGCCGGCCUUGGCUAUUAUAGCCCAGCAGUUGGAGGGAUGUGCCGCGCCCUGUAGGGUUGCCAUCUGGGGUGACUUGGAGUUAACAGCUCAGGCAUCUGCACCACUCCCCAAACUGCAGCCGGCAGCUGUGGGGGCUGCCGCCUCCCUAGUGCUGUGUCCAGAAUCCUGGGAGCAUGAGUCAACUCCCAGGACUCUCGGAAAAUGAACAGCCAUCUGAUCACGCAGCUUCUCCUGCCUCUCACUCUGAAGGAAAGCACCACCGAACAAAGACAGUGCUAUCAGCCACUCCUCCCCGGAGAGCCAGGGCUGCCCUGCUUUUGAAUUGCAUCUCCCUUGGUCCGGCUCACCAUGCACGGAGAUGGCAGAAUUGUGGCAUGCAAACUAGGCCUGCACUGCUUUCCCUAGUUGGGGGGGGAAGGGGGGCACCAAAAAUUUGCCUGAACUGUGUGUCUUGAAAUUUGCGUCGGAAAUGUGGUGAGAUAAAAGGAAAUUUAAGAUG
Long non-coding RNA from Myotis brandtii (Brandt's bat), 868 nucleotides. RefSeq lists it as uncharacterized. The transcript is spliced from 2 exons. Lineage: Eukaryota; Metazoa; Chordata; Mammalia; Chiroptera; Vespertilionidae. The record is from RefSeq and is a predicted model, not a curated record.